RNAcentral lists this long non-coding RNA (1664 nucleotides) under Triticum aestivum (bread wheat). RNAcentral's name for it is "long non-coding RNA (TAES_LNC014360)". The record is from RNAcentral. Lineage: Eukaryota; Viridiplantae; Streptophyta; Magnoliopsida; Poales; Poaceae.
UAGUCCUUGUGGAUGUGGUAGUGCUCAUGGAGGAUGGCCGGCGCGAGAGUGUGAGAGAUGCCCUGUUUAUGUGGUCAUGUUUGGUGUCUUUCUUCCUUGUUUUGCUUCGUUGAUCGUCUUGCAUCGAGUAGGUGAAGUUGGCCGCGAACUCUGAUAGUUUCCUCAAGUUUGGCAUAUGAUGAACUGAUUUGGUGGUGAAAUUGGUCAUGAAAUUCUGUUGAUUUCCUCAAAUUUGGCAUAUGAUGAACUCAUUUGGUGCUGAAAUUGGUCAUGAAAACAUGUUGAUCUCCUUAAAUUUGGCGUGCUGGACUAAUUUGGUGGUGAAAUUGGUCAAGAACUUUUCAAGUUUUGCCUGAUGAACUGCUUUGAUUGUCUUAAGCUAGUCUUGCCUCUAUAUCUUUCCUCGUUCUUCAUCUGUACUUAUUGCUUUAAACUUUCUGUAAAAAGCUGGGCAUUCUCUGAAAAAAUUGAUUGAUCUCCUCGAUUUUUGACGACAUGGAGCUGGUGAACUACUUUGAUUGUCUUCAGCUAUUUUCCCCUGUUUAUCUUUCCUCGUUCUUGAUCUGCAUUGCUUUAAGCUUUCUGUAAAAAGCUGGGCAUUCAUGCAACCUCUCUGAAAAUUUGACUGAUUUCCUCGAGUUUGACGUCACGGAGUUGGUGAACGGGCAGUUACGGGUUGAUGAUUUUUGCUUGCUAUUCCGUGAUUACUUUGUGGUUAUCCUUGAGUUUAACUUCGUGCAAGAACAGCAUCUGUUCCAGUUUGUGCUUACGGGUUCUUGCGUGAACAGACACAUGAGAUAGGCGUUUCUUUGUUUUGGUGGUUCCUGAAUGUUUUGUAUUUAUCCUACAGUAUGUGUUUACUUCUUCAUAUUAUCAACUCUACUUUUGGUGGAGAAGUUGAUCCUUAACUCUGUCGAUUUUCCAAAAAGAAUAAAAGCGUAUGAUGAACUACUUUGCUGGUGAAAAUUCGUGAUUAAACUUUGUUGAUUUCCUCUAGUUUGAGGUAAUGAACUGAUUUGGUAGUGAAACUGGUCCUGAGCUUAUUUUUUAGAAAUGGUCAAGAACUUGUUGAUUUCCUGAAGUGUGACGUGAUUAUUUGAUUUGUGGUGAAUGUGUUGCUUGUUCCGUGGUGUUGAUCUUCUGUGUUACUUUGUCAGAACAGUAACAGUAACUGUUUGUGUUUGUGGUUGUGGCGUUGUUAUGUGGACAGCUAUAUAAGACAUGACAUAUUCCGUGGUGUUAAAAACAGAGUAUGCACGAAGAAAAAGCAAGAGGCAAUACACACAAGAAAUUGGCACUUUUACUCUUCUAUCCUUAGUUCAGUCCCAGCAAAUGGUUUUAUCUUUGGCUUUUGGCGCUGCAACUUUUUAGUUUCCUCAAGUUUGGCAUAUGAUGAACUGAUUUGGUGGUGAAAUUGGCCAUGAAGCCGUGUUGAUCUCCUUAAGUUUGGCGUGCUGGACUAAAUUAGUGGUGAAAUUGAUCAUGAACGGUGUUGAUUGUAUCAAGUUUGAUCUCGCCUGUCUAUCUUUUCUCGUUCUUGAUCUGUAUUGCUUUAAGCUUUCUGAAAAAGCUGGGCAUUCAUGCCUACUCUCUGAAACUUUGACUGAUCUCCUCGAGUUUGACGUCAUGGAGUUGGUGAACGGGCAGUUACGGGUUAAUGAUUU